Long non-coding RNA from Terrapene triunguis (Three-toed box turtle), 717 nucleotides. RefSeq lists it as uncharacterized. The record is from RefSeq and is a predicted model, not a curated record. Lineage: Eukaryota; Metazoa; Chordata; Testudines; Emydidae. The transcript has 5 exons.
GGAGCCACUCGGCUGAGAAUUGCUGUUCCCGUCCCUCGUCCUUGUCACGUCACCACUCUCCGUAACGGGCUCCGAGCCGUGAAUGUGGUUGCUCGAAUCUGCAACUUGUUAAUGUUCCAAGUGAACAGCCAAGAAGGGACCUCAGAUUAAUGGCAUUUACGCUGCUGGAAUAUCAGUAAGGAGAAGAGUGACGCAAAAGGAGUUCUGAAUCCCAGAAUGGAAGAUAAUGAAAAUUUCACUUUUCUGCUGGAGGCACACUGCAGGAGUAUUAAGAGCCAGAAAGUGAAACGGACUACAUCUGGGAUGCGCACACUACGGGGAUUUCUGUAAAAGUCUGUAAUCCUGCAAAGGUAUACACCUGUUGGACAAUCAGAAGGGCUACUUCAUUCCUAUGGACCCCAAAUCAGAAUUCAACAUAUAUAUAUUUUUACUAAUAUACAUUUAUACAUUGUUUGAAGUACUAAUUGUAUGUUACUUGUUAACCUAAAACCAUGGGCGGAGACAUUAUGUAAUCUUUGACCAUUGGCUACUGUGCUUAUCUUGUCUUGCUGCUAGACCUAUCCAGGGGUUUGGGACUACCUACCCUGUCACUUUCCUCCGCCCAUGGAAAAUCCAUAUAAUUUACUGUAAUCAAUUGAUUGACAGUGUCUCUGAGCCUAAUAAGCAAGGUGACACUCCACCAGCGCUGUGCGUAAUAAACCCACCUGCUUGAUUCUA